Cyanistes caeruleus (blue tit) is the source of this 2500-nucleotide long non-coding RNA. RefSeq lists it as uncharacterized. The record is from RefSeq and is a predicted model, not a curated record. NCBI's taxonomy places the organism in Eukaryota, Metazoa, Chordata, Aves, Passeriformes, Paridae.
UCGACUGUGGAUUGAUUCUGUGGCACCAACCAUGACAAGCUGUGCUCCAAAAGCCUGGGGAUAGGGCAAAUAGGACUGGAGCCGCUCCGAGUGUGCUCUGGCUGAGCCACACAGACUGUGUCCCCCUGCCAGUUGUCAGCAGAGGUGUGCCAUAGGCUUCACAAGCAAGCAUGAAAAAACUUCAUCAUCUCCAUGACCCAUCUGACAGAUUGGCCUAGGAAGGGGGGCAUCUGCCCUGCUCCAUGCCAGACACAGCUCACAUUCCUCCCAUCUCCAGCACAGCUGCUGCACUCACUCAGCUUAUGAAUCCUGCCCUACUUUGGAUCAGCCCACAGCAUCUUUGAUUUUGAGGCUUGGCAGGCAGGGGACAGAGCUGCUGGCGAGUCUGUGCUGUCACAAGCUGGAGCUACGCUUGAUUUCUGCAAGGAAGGAGGUAUUGCAGACAACACCUGGCCCAUCUGCAGCAAGAUGGAUUGUAGUGAGUGAAGCAUCAGAAGCCUUUUCCUUCCUGCACAAAAGGCACCCUGUGAUGUGUGAAAUACAGACAAUCCCCUCUCAACUGCUAUUUCUGACAGCUUUUAUUUCUCUCAUUGGACUUACUGCUGUAAAAUCUUGCAAGCAUUAGUAUUGAAUUAUAUUGAAUGAGGAUGAGAAAUUUUAACCAGUUCUUUACCUGAGGGACUCAAUGAGGGAUGUCUGCAGCUGCUAAGAUAAAGCUUUUGACCUUCUCUUGCCUGCAGACACCUCCCAAAAGAUCUUCUGAGACCAGCCCUGAUCCCACAAAAGUGGGAGCAGGAUUUGUGGUGUACCUCUGGGCAAAACCAGGCUGUGCAAAGUGUCCACAGAAGUAAAAAUGGCAUUCAAAGGCCAGGGGUGGCAGGUUUAUAGCAGCUGAAGGAGAAGCUUAUUUUGGUUGAUGUUUAUAUCUGAACUAACUUAACCCUGCCCUAAAUAGUCUGCACUGCUGUGCUGCACUGAGCAGUGCUGGUGACAUUUCAGCAGUACCAGGUGGGUAGUAUGGUGGGGCAUGCAUGUGCAGGACACCAGCCAAAGCCCAGUAUCACCCAGCUUGGGAAGUUCCCAAAAUGUUCACUUGAGGACUUUCAGCUCUUACUCAUGCCACUGUGCAUGCUGGGAGGUGGGCCAGUUUUGCUGAAGGCAAACUCAUGAAAUUGUGACUGUAUAGAGGGCAGAGAGCAGUGCUGUGGGGCAAGGUCUGGGUGCUGCGACCAAGACUGAGGUCUCUGGCCACAACCUGGAGCAGAAAGCGCAAUCCCAGACACAGGGAUCUGGCCCUAAGCACCCCCAUGAUAAAUGUAAGCAUUCCACAAAUAAUAAUAAAAAUGGAGAUAAUUAGUCCAGCCUGCUGGAAUGGCCCUUGUACCACUGCCUGGCCCUGUGGGAUGGAAAAAGGAGCUUAUUCACCAAGGAGUGCCUAAGGGAGGCUCAAAAGAAGGAGAAUCAGAUAGUGAAGCUGCAGGAGAUCAGGCUCUGAGGAACAGGGCUGCUUCAGCCUACGAGCACAAGAGGAAACUCAAACUGACGGCUCUUUCUGCCUUCAGCUGCAGCUGAGAUGUACCAUGAAGCACCACAGCUCUGACAGGGGAGGCAGGAGUGAGGAGCUGACCCACACCUUUGUGUGUUUGGAUUUUGACUCUGGCUGCAGUCUGCUGCCCCAAACACAGCCCACCAGCCUGACAGAUUCCCAGUACAGCCUCCCAAUAGUGCCCAGUAGAAGGCCAUGUGUGGGUGAUGUCACUGUGCCAGGGUGUGCCUUGCCACACAAGGGCCCUGUGUACCUCCAGUGUUACCUGUGCCCACCAGGAGCUGGGGUCCUGUCUGUGCAUUUAAAGGCUUUGCCUUGCCCAGCAGGAAAAUUUAUAAAAGAUUGUAUGGAAAAAACCCUCUGGCCUCUCCUAACCUUUGGGAACUUGCUAUCGUUGUUCUUUUUGUGUGUUUUUUGGCAAGUUGUUUCAUCCUACAAUAGCACAUGAAUUCUGCCGUGACAGCAGAUCACUAGGAGACCGAGCCAGAUCUCUGUUAGCAGCCCACGGACACUGUUUCCAGAGUGCUGUAUGGCAGAUGGGCAAGACAAGCUUUCUGAGGCUGGGGAUCUCAUCUGAAACCCACAGGAGUGGAUUUGGGAGUGAGUCUGUCAAGAAUCCUUGUUCUCUGAGGAGGCUGAAGGUCUCCUGUGUCGAGACAGGCAGUAGCUGGCAUGCAUUGCUGGCUCAGAGGCAGCUCUUUGUUGCUGCCCUCUUUUCUGAUUGCGCUCCUUCCUCUUCCCCAGGCAGCAGAGCAGGCUGCAGCAGGAUGUGGGCACAAGCAGCCAUGUCAGACUCCUGCAGAAACCCAACAAGCACAGGCAGCUGGGCUGUAACACUCAGUCCCUUCCAGCAGUGCACUGCUGCUGGCCCCAUUACCAACACAGGUGGCUCACAGGUGCUCCCUGCUUUUCUUAAGCACAGCCAACGAAUUAAACCUUAAACCAUAAAUUACA